AUUGAACGCUGGCGGCAGGCCUAACACAUGCAAGUCGAGCGGAUGAAGGGAGCUUGCUCCUGGAUUCAGCGGCGGACGGGUGAGUAAUGCCAAGGAAUCUGCCUGGGAGUGGGGGAUAACGUCCGGAAACGGGCGCUAAUACCGCAUACGUCCUGAGGGAGAAAGUGGGGGAUCUUCGGACCUCACGCUAUCAGAUGAGCCUAGGUCGGAUUAGCUAGUUGGUGGGGUAAAGGCCUACCAAGGCGACGAUCCGUAACUGGUCUGAGAGGAUGAUCAGUCACACUGGAACUGAGACACGGUCCAGACUCCUACGGGAGGAAGCAGUGGGGAAUUUUGGACAAUGGGCGAAAGCCUGAUCCAGCCAUGCCGCGUGUGUGAAGAAGGUCUUCGGAUUGUAAAGCACUUUAAGUUGGGAGGAAGGGCAGUAAGUUAAUACCUUGCUGUUUUGACGUUACCAACAGAAUAAGCACCGGCUAACUUCGUG
RNAcentral lists this ribosomal RNA (484 nucleotides) under uncultured bacterium. Its description in RNAcentral is "partial 16S ribosomal RNA". It matches the Rfam family "Bacterial small subunit ribosomal RNA", at positions 30 to 507 of the family's 1533-position model. The record is from RNAcentral.